This 309-nucleotide long non-coding RNA is filed under the name Olea europaea (common olive). RNAcentral's name for it is "long non-coding RNA (OEUR_LNC007659)". Lineage: Eukaryota; Viridiplantae; Streptophyta; Magnoliopsida; Lamiales; Oleaceae. The record is from RNAcentral.
AAGGAGUAAAGCCCAAUUGGAGGAUCCCCAAAUCAGAUAGCCCAAAGAACGAAGCCCAAUCGAACAAUUCAAGAUGAAGGCCCAAAUAAGGAGGCCCAAGAACACGGUAACGCCAUCGCCCAAGUUUGCAAGUCGCCUAGAAUCUGAGCGAAUGGAAUGUCAUACAGUCACCCAGAAUCUGAGCGAAUGGAGUGUCAUACAGUCGCCCAGAACUGUUACUCUAUUCUCGCCCAAACCUUCAAGUCGCCCAAGGUCUUAACAAACAUAAAGCGUCGUGGUUAUCAAGAAGUGCAGUUAUCAAAGCAGUUA